This 66-nucleotide transfer RNA is filed under the name Fukomys damarensis (Damara mole-rat). It matches the Rfam family "tRNA". Rfam says of the family: Transfer RNA (tRNA) molecules are approximately 80 nucleotides in length. Their secondary structure includes four short double-helical elements and three loops (D, anti-codon, and T loops). The record is from Rfam by way of RNAcentral. Lineage: Eukaryota; Metazoa; Chordata; Mammalia; Rodentia; Bathyergidae.
UGGGGUAUAGCUCAGAGGUAGAGUCUAGUACACAGGAGGCCUUGGGUUCAAAUCCCAGUACUGCAA